UACGGGGGUGCAAGCGUUACUCGGAAUCACUGGGCGUAAAGGACGCGUAGGCGGAUUAUCAAGUCUUUUGUGAAAUCUAGUGGCUUAACCACUAAACUGCUUAGGAAACUGAUAAUCUAGAGUAGGGGAGAGGUAGAUGGAAUUCUUGGUGUAGGGGUAAAAUCCGUAGAGAUCAAGAGGAAUACCUAUUGCGAAAGCGAUCUGCUGGAACCUAACUGACGCUGAGGCGUGAAAGCGUGGGUAGCAAACAGGAUUAGAUACCCCGGUAGUCCCUGAG
RNAcentral lists this ribosomal RNA (277 nucleotides) under uncultured prokaryote. Its description in RNAcentral is "partial 16S ribosomal RNA". It matches the Rfam family "Bacterial small subunit ribosomal RNA", at positions 524 to 801 of the family's 1533-position model. The record is from RNAcentral.